Molecule: small RNA, 3483 nt
Filed under: Pongo abelii (Sumatran orangutan)
Lineage: Eukaryota; Metazoa; Chordata; Mammalia; Primates; Hominidae
Description: retained intron
Source: RNAcentral
UAUAGCAUGUCCCUUUCUUGUGAAUUUCAUUGUAAGAAUUUACAUAUUAAAGGCUCUGAACAGGACUGCAGUUAAGGAAACCCACUUGAUUAUGCUUAGUGGAUUACGUUUCUCAAACUCAUUUGCCUGCUGUGGAGCCCUGUUUUGUAUAACCUCUAAUAGCCUGAGAAAUAUACUUUGGGCAACACUGAUCUAGAAGGUCUGAUAUUUGCCAGAUCUGACCCUGUAGACUCAGACUGUUUUCUGCUAUAAGAGCAGCAGCUCUUCAUAUGUGUGCCUCUCUUCUUCUUCUUUUUUUUUUUUUUUUUUUUUUUUUUUUUUGAGAUGGAGUCUUGCUCUAUCAUCCAGGCUGGAGUACAGUGGCACGAUUUUGGCUCACUGCAACCUCCGCCUCAGGGUUCAAGUAAUUCUCCAGCCUCAGCCUCCCAAGUAGCUGGGACUACAGACACGUGCCACCAUGCCCAGCUAAUUUUUGUAUUUUUAGUGGAGAUGGGACUUCACCAUGUUGGCCAGGCUGGUCUCAAACUCCUGACCUCAAGUGAUCCGCCCGCCUCGGCCUCCCAAAGUGCUGGGAUUACAGGCGUGAGCCACCGUGCCCAGCCUCUGUUUGCCUCUCUUCUAACCCAGUUUUGGGUCCCAGGAAAGACUUUCCCUGAGGUCCGUCUUCCUAGUUAGGCCCCACGUGGACUGUCAUUGAGGAGGCCAUAAGGGUCAGAUCAGACUGAUGUUGGGGCUGAAAGUGAAGAUUUAACUGGGGGCAGGAAGAUUUAACUGUGGAAAGAUUCUCCAUAUGUUCUAAACCCCUUUGCCUUUCCCACACAGGAUGGUUUCCCCAUUCGGAUAAAAGCAGUCCAUGUUGUGAAUGAACCUCGAAUAUUUAAAGGCAUUUUUGCCAUCAUAAAACCAUUUCUAAAGGAGAAAAUAGCAAACAGAUUCUUCCUCCAUGGGUCUGACUUGAACUCUCUCCACACAAACCUUCCAAGAAGCAUUCUCCCCAAGGAGUAUGGGGGCACGGCUGGGGAGCUGGACACUGCCACCUGGAACGCGGUACUGCUGGCUUCAGAAGACGAUUUUGUGAAAGAGUUCUGCCAACCUGUUCCUACCUGUGACAGCAUCCUGGGCCAGACGCUGCUGCCUGAGGGCCUGACCUCAGAUGCACAGUGUGACGACUCUUUGCGAGCUGUGAAGUCACAGCUGUACUCCUGCUACUAGCCCGUCCCCCAGGGUCACCAUCUUUAAUUCUUUUCCUUCUUUUCUUUGGAGAGGCACAAGGAGAAUUUAAGGGUUCAAGGAUUCAGUCUUUCUCCUUGUAAUUAAACUGCAGGAUGGAGGAACAGCCUGUGAGAUAUGAGCAUGAGCCCAUUUUGGGGUAAGCCUUUGGUUACUUGAAUUACUCCAUGGAAGACAUGGAAAAUGUCCCCACUGAUUCUUAAACAUUUGGAAUCCCAGUCUGCAACUAUUAAUCUGGAGGCUAUUAUCUGUUUUGUUUUGAUUUUUGGUUGGGGGGUGGUGAUCUGGUUCAUACACAUCUUGGAAGCAAGAACAAUCAGGACCAAAGUCACUUUGAUCCCACUUUUCCAGGAGAAAAACAACCUUUUUGGCCGGUGAGAACUACUUGUAUGAAAUAAUUUGGCCAAACCUGCAGUGUGACCAAAUGUGAGACUGGGAGUUUGCGUUUUUCACAGGAACCCUAAGUACAGACCUCUGCUGCUCAUCAGGAAACUAGUAUACUGGAGAUGAAGGCCCCAGCUGCUGUCACCGGGUUUGGAAAGCACCUUAACUGAAUCAUGUAAGCAUCAGGACAUAAGCAGCACUUUGUGGUCAAAUGUGGAAGCUGGAGACUUCAAAGCACCUCUGGGACCCAUUGGUUGAAGCUUGCAAUAGAAACUUAAGCUUUCCCAAAUCCAUAAAGCCUUAGCCCUGGUUCUCAAUAGAAUCAGGGACCUAGCAGGAAAUGAUUUUACUCAACCUAAAAUGCUGGAUUCCAGGCCCGUGUAGCUACAAGAAUUCUGGCCUGGAUCCCAGGUGUGCAACUAUGACAAGACAUGGGCCUCUACUUUCUCCUCUAUAAAAUGAGGCUGGAUGAAAUGUCAGCUAGGGCCGUUUUGGCUGCUGAGGCUCUGGGAUUUGGUUUAGUUACUGAAUGUUAGAUUUUCUGCCUAGAAAGAUAACUAUCUAGAUACAAGUGGUUGGAUCUUGUUUUUGUUUGUGGUACACGUGUCUUUCCAAGAGAGAUGUGUCACCAAUUAGCCCUGUCUUUAAAGAAACUACUAUGUGUAUUCCUGGGACUCACUGACAUCAAUUUUCUUUUUAUAGUGAUGGUUCAAUUUUGAAAAGAUGGCUUUUGUGAGGCCAGGUAAGGUGACCAGGAUCUUGUAUGAUGAAUUCCUUCCAUCCCUGAGACUCUGGUACUAUAUUGUAAACCUGGCUACAGUAGUUAAUUACUUGAGAUUCUUUAAUUUUGGUCUCUGGGACGGGCGUGGUGGCUUAUGCCUGUAAUCCCAGCACUUUGGGAGGCCAAGGUGGGCGGAUCACAAGGUCAGGAGUUCGAGACCCGCCUGGCCAAGAUGGUGAAACCCCAUCUCUACUAAAAAUACAAAAAUUAGCUGGGCGUGGUGGCGGGCUCCUGUAGUCCCAGCUACUCGGGAGGCUGAGGCAGAAGAAUCGCCUGAACCCAGGAGGCAGAAGUGGCAGUGAGCCAAGACUGCACCACUGCACUCCAGCCUGGGCGACAGAGCAAGACUCUGCCUCAAAAAAAAAAAAAAAAUUUUUUUUUUGGUCUUUGGAAAUGAACACAAGCACAGGUUAUUGCUGGGUCACUUCUGGGCCCCCCUGCCCUCCCAGCCCCACUUGAGUUUCUCUCUCUGGUGUGGGUGAACCAGUCAGCCUGAAUGUUCUGCAUUUCAGCACUUUAGAACCUCCCUGUGAAGAUUUUAGCCUUAGCCCAAACAUCAAAUUAGAUGGUUCACAUGAUGGUUUUUGACCUGUUUCCUUUCUAAUGUAUUCCACACGAUCAUGGUGUUAAAUAGUGAAAAGUACUGUGUUGUGUGUGCACCUUCUCCGUGCAUUUAUUAGACUAACCAGUCAAGGCAGACAGCUCAGUUAGGGAGAAAACAAUACUCUGAAAUUUGAAGGCCAGUCUGUUGUUACUAAGCUGUUUAUCUCUGUUGCCUUUUUAAAUGUCUGGAUAAGUUGUUGGUGGAAAUUUUAAGUUACUUAACCUCAUUAAUACCAAUUCUAGAGAAAGUUCUUUUCACCAUGGAUAGUAACCCUGGAUCCUCUAGGGUCCUGGCUGAGCUGGAAGUGCCAAAAAGCACUCCUGGCUGCUUCUGGUUCCAUCUGACAAUGAUGUGACCCGCACUGCUGAAAAGGCCCAAGUAGGGCAAGUGGGAUAGCUAAAGGAGGGAAGGAGGGGGUUCAGAACCCAGUGGCCUAGAUGGGAGAACUGGGUGGAGACUUCCCCAAGAGGGAAGACAGAUAAAC